This 253-nucleotide ribosomal RNA is filed under the name uncultured bacterium. Its description in RNAcentral is "partial 16S ribosomal RNA". It matches the Rfam family "Bacterial small subunit ribosomal RNA", at positions 524 to 776 of the family's 1533-position model. The record is from RNAcentral.
UACGUAGGGUGCAAGCGUUGUCCGGAAUUAUUGGGCGUAAAGAGCUCGUAGGCGGUUCGUCGCGUCGGCUGUGAAAUCCCGAGGCUCAACCUCGGGUCUGCAGUCGAUACGGGCGGACUGGAGUUCGGCAGGGGAGACUGGAAUUCCUGGUGUAGCGGUGAAAUGCGCAGAUAUCAGGAGGAACACCGGUGGCGAAGGCGGAUCUCUGGGCCUUACCUGACGCUGAGGCGCGAAAGCUAGGGGAGCAAACAGG